UCGGGUGAAGCCGGGCACUCUGGAAGGACUGCCAUCGACAAGAUGGGAGGAAGUGGGGACGACGUCAAGUCAUCAUGGCCCUUAUGUCCAGGGCGACACACGUGCUACAAUGGCCGGCACAACGGGAAGCGAGUUCGCGAGGACGAGCGGAUCCCUUAAAGCCGGUCGACAGUUCGGAUUGAAGUCUGCAACUCGACUUCAUGAAGCUGGAAUCGCUAGUAAUCGCGCAUCAGCCAUGGCGCGGUGAAUACGUUCCCGGGCCUU
Molecule: ribosomal RNA, 264 nt
Filed under: uncultured Synergistaceae bacterium
Lineage: Bacteria; Thermotogati; Synergistota; Synergistia; Synergistales; Synergistaceae
Description: partial 16S ribosomal RNA
Rfam family: Bacterial small subunit ribosomal RNA
Source: RNAcentral